RNAcentral lists this ribosomal RNA (518 nucleotides) under uncultured bacterium. RNAcentral describes it as "bacterial SSU rRNA". It matches the Rfam family "Bacterial small subunit ribosomal RNA", at positions 10 to 518 of the family's 1533-position model. The record is from RNAcentral.
AGUUUGAUUAUGGCUCAGGAUGAACGCUAGCUACAGGCUUAACACAUGCAAGUCGAGGGGCAGCAUGACGAUAGCUUGCUAUUGUUGAUGGCGACCGGCGCACGGGUGAGUAACGCGUAUCCAACCUUCCCUAUAGUAGAGGAUAGCCCGGCGAAAGUCGGAUUAAUACUCUAUGUUUUCCAAUGCAGACAUCUAAAAUGGAACAAAGGUUUACCGCUAUAGGAUGGGGAUGCGUCUGAUUAGGUUGUUGGCGGGUAACGGCCCACCAAGCCUACGAUCAGUAGGGGUUCUGAGAGGAAGGUCCCCACAUUGGAACUGAGACACGGUCCAAACUCCUACGGGAGGCAGCAGUGAGGAAUAUUGGUCAAUGGGCGAGAGCCUGAACCAGCCAAGUAGCGUGCAAGGAUGACGGCCCUAUGGGUUGUAAACUGCUUUUAUACAGGGAUAAAGUGCGCCACGUGUGGCGCUUUGUAGGUACUGUAUGAAUAAGGACCGGCUAAUUCCGUGCCAGCCGCCGC